RNAcentral lists this long non-coding RNA (2012 nucleotides) under Solanum tuberosum (potato). RNAcentral's name for it is "long non-coding RNA (STUB_LNC008842)". Lineage: Eukaryota; Viridiplantae; Streptophyta; Magnoliopsida; Solanales; Solanaceae. The record is from RNAcentral.
CCCAAAAUCAUGUAGGUCUUUUCUCUUUACUCGACGUCUGCCUUUUCUCUUCCAUUUUUGGCUAACGUUUCAUUUCUCUUCAGCCAUGGACAGACUUUGCUUGGUCCUUUCCAAGCAAAACUUGUCCCUCUCUCCAAGGUAUCACGUGAUGUCUGUUUCAAGCUUCUAACGUUCGAAUUUGAAAGAUUUUUGACCAAGUUCAAAUGUAUUUCCCGCUCAAGUUGUUAACCCUAGAAGAUCUGGCUAUAAAUAUUGAUGUUUGGAACUUGUUUCAGAAGGAUUUUCGGCCUCCAUAGCACUCUUGGAAUUCAUUUUUAAGACUAGGCUUCUCUUCCCCCCAUAGUAUCUUGAACCACUGCAUUUUGCCAUAAAAAUUAUCUUUUAUACUCUCUUUCGAUCUUGUCGGAAAUUCUAAUUGCAAGCUUAUUUGGGUUCGUCGUUGUUCAAAUAUAGACACUUGAUCGCAGCAUCCCCGUUCACUUCCCUAUAGCAGGUAAUACUCACCCAUUUUACCUUUGUUUCUCACUGCGACUAAAAAAACCUAUGAUUGCUCCUCGAAUUUUAUGUGUCAAGACUGGAGAGUGAUUUUUUACUUUAGCUAUACCGAAAGUAGUGUUAAAAAUGUAUUCGUGUCUUCUUUUAGAGUUGAAGUUAUUCUAUAUCUCCCUGCUGCUCACUGUUUUUAGUUCACAAUAUUUUACCCUGAAAUUUGAAUUCAUCCUUUGUGUUUAUAUCAUCUGAGGAUGGCUACAUCUUAAAGGCUUUGAGAAUGUUGAUGAUUCAUGUCUUUGCCACAAUUCUCCUAAACAUUCCUUGUUUUAAUAAAGGGGGAUUCAUUAUAUUAAUCUUUCCUUAUGCAUAUACUUCUAAUUAUGAUUCUUUUCUCGAUAAAGUGUGUUGGCAUCUUAUAAACCAUGCUAAUGUUUUCCUUAGAAUUUGGAAGUCUGCUUAAAAUAUAGUGUUAAUUUUAUUUUUAGAUGUUCUAUUUGUUAAGUCUUCCAGAAAUCAAAUGUUUAUCUUUGUGUCUAAUAAAGCUUUUAUAUCCUCCUUGUUAGUGUAGUGAUUUAUGUUUGGGUCGUUAAAAUGAAUGGAUUAUUACUAAGCUUUGAAACUAGCUUUUUGUUCACUAUGUUGGUUCAAUUAUUUCCUUAUGGUUAAGUGUUUGAGUUUAGUUAGCUGAAUAUUUAUCGAUUUUUCUUAAUCUCUGCCUUGUUCUAUUUUCCAUAUUAGAUCUUUCAUUUAUUUGUUAGUAUCAUUUCUUAUUGUUACGAGAGCCUUGAAAUUCAUUUCUAUGAAUUGGUAUUUAGUUGUUUUUUAGUUCAAAUUAGCAAAUGUUCGGUUGGAAUUAUUAGUCUGAUCUAAUGCCUGCACCUAUAUCACAUUUAAGCUUACUAAAUUUCAGCUAUCCUUAUAAGCAGCAUAUCCCAUGUAUAAAUUAUGCUCUAUUAUCAUGAUAUCUUCACUUCUUUAAGAUGUGUCCAAUUCUUUAAAGUUGUAGCAUAGAAGCUGAUUUGAUUUGGUGAUGUCAUUCUACCCAUGUCUCUUUAUGUAUUAUAUAGUAUAUAUAUUUGUGGCGUGACUUUAUUUGGAUCUCUUUUGUUCACUAUCAUUUCAAGUUGAAUUGUCUUAUUAAUCUCUCUUUAUUUUCUCUUUCUUUAUUUGCAUGAACUUUGGAGCAAAAUGGAGUCUUUGAUUUAAGACUAGCAAAUUAUCGAGUCUCAUAGACUCAGCAUUAUUCUCACACCCGCACAUGGAGUCUUCACUACAUCUUUGACUAUUCGAAAUUGCAAGCAAAACAAGUGGUCCUAUCUUGGAGUCACAUAUGGCUACUUACAUUUUGCAUUAUUUGUUUAUGUGUUUUUCUUUACAUGCUAUAUUUGCUUGUGUGAUUUAGAUAUUUCUAGUUUGGAUUCAUAAUAGUUGACUUAAUAUAGAUGUUUGGAUUUGGGUACCUUUAGUUAGAAACAAACCUUUAUAGUUACUUUAGCUUUUUAUAAAAUUCAUUUAGAAAA